Long non-coding RNA from Austrofundulus limnaeus, 1363 nucleotides. RefSeq lists it as uncharacterized. The transcript has 3 exons. NCBI's taxonomy places the organism in Eukaryota, Metazoa, Chordata, Actinopteri, Cyprinodontiformes, Rivulidae. The record is from RefSeq and is a predicted model, not a curated record.
GCAAGUUUUAAUGUCGAUGCUUUGUUUCGGAAUAUUGUGGACAACCAUGGACAAAAUCCCUGAUAAAUGUGCCGCGGAUCCGAGAGGACGUCAUUUUGAGGCAACUGUCGGGGGGGGGGGCACCGUGUCAAAAAAGACAAUCGCCGAAAAAAGGACAUUGAAGUCGGCGAGAUCAUGCCCAGCAGAGUAAGUUUGUUAUUCUUGUUCUUGUCUUAUUUUCAUCAAUCUUUUGACUCAAGCAUCAGAAUGGAAGUUUAAAUGCCAAAUCUAGCUGAACUUUAGGCUGAUUUGGUUAUUGUUACAUCGUCGAUUAACCUCUAUAGCCUAGCGCCGGGUGUUCAUUCGAGCCAUUACUAUUCACAGAGUCAUGUAAACAAAGCCAUUGGAUUAGCGUCAAUCUCUCACAUAAAUGUUCAUAGCAUCCUUAUUUCUUAUCCUAUUUGUGUAAACUACAGCUUAAAUAAAAGCUGAGAAAAUUGUUGAUGUUGUGAUAUGUAAAAAUAAGUAUUGUCCCAAGAGAUACACAUAAGCUUUAUAGGAAUUUUUUAUUAUAGGUUUUACUAACGUGUUUGCUACAGCUCAGACUGUAUUUGAUGGAAAAUUUGAUGUGUAUAAAAAUUAUAUUAGUUAAAAGCAAUAUUUCUUACCUGGCUUUUUUUUUUUAAAUAAUGACAAAUUCAGUAUGGCUGUAAUGAAUUUGGUGUAGUGAAUUUUCUUGCAGACAAGGGGGUGGCUGCAAUCAUGUGCCCGCACUACUGUUUGAGUUGGAGCAAUAUCAAGCUUGUGGUGGAACUACAAAGUAAGCCAACCUGCACCCAGUCGCCUUGUUCAUAGAGGGGACGAGCCCAAAAACGAACUGCCUAAUAAACUACUUGUGAAGAGCAGCAAAUGUUAAAGUGUCAUUUAAGGCAUGAGAUCGGCGUGGAGAAGGUCUCCUGGAAAACGUUGAACAGCCUGGCUUUUGACCCACGACAUCCUGACGACUGGAAUGAAAACACCACUGCUGAUAUUGGACAUUUGGAGUGUGGAAACUUCUUUGCCAUUUUGCAGGUAUGCCGUGCCUCUGGUUGCUGUGCCAGAUCUUGACCCUCAACCAGAUGAUGCAGCUGAUGACUUAGGCCCGAGUCCAGUCUCCAUUGACACCAUCAGAGAGGCCUGCAAGAAGUUCAAGCAUCUUUAAAGGUCACACAUAAACAGAAGCUGGUCUGACUGAAGCACAAACACGCAAGCAGAGCUCAAGUGAAGAAUGGUUUCAAGAAUGUUUCUUGAAAAAAUGUGAAGUUCUGCUGCUGUUUCUUCACACUGUUACGUUUUUUUCUUUAGGAAAAUGUUUUUGGUAAAAUUAAAAGCUGCCUUCUCAAAA